RNAcentral lists this transfer RNA (63 nucleotides) under Escherichia coli. RNAcentral's name for it is "tRNA-Ser". It matches the Rfam family "tRNA", at positions 15 to 71 of the family's 71-position model. From Rfam's summary of the family: Transfer RNA (tRNA) molecules are approximately 80 nucleotides in length. Their secondary structure includes four short double-helical elements and three loops (D, anti-codon, and T loops). RNAcentral also lists the same sequence under 1 other name. The record is from RNAcentral. Lineage: Bacteria; Pseudomonadati; Pseudomonadota; Gammaproteobacteria; Enterobacterales; Enterobacteriaceae.
GCUGGAUAGAGUACUCGGCUACGAACCGAGCGGUCGGAGGUUCGAAUCCUCCCGGAUGCACCA